UUUCGAGCAGAUAUUAUUAUAUGAUAUGAGUAAUCUGAGUAUUUUUGGUUUAGAACUAUUACUAUUAUUAUAUGGCAUGGUAUUGUUGUAUAUUGGUACUUAUACAGUUCUGAUUUCUCUUUACUGCGCUUAUCUGCAGGUACAACUUUCCUUUUCCGUGCUUAAGUAAAAAAAUGUUGUUCCAUUCGAUACACAGUCGGAUUAUUUGAUUUAAAGCCUUGCUGAAGUUGACAUUCUGAUAUAUCGUGACUCUGGUAAAAAAUAUUUUCAAGUUCGGAAAGUAGGAUACUUCAUUUAAUAUGUCUAUCACACAUGUUCACGGAGAUAAUUCUACACAUGGUUUUUAUACCUCUUUUUGACCCUGCUUGGAGAUGGAAGCGAGAUUUUGAAGUUUUAAGGCCUGCAGUGCCGUGGUCUUGCGUUGAUAUCUGUAGUUGUACAUAGAAAUUUUCUCAUUUGGUGUAUGUCUUUGCUACUUUUUCCUUAAACAUAAAUUAUAUUUUUAUAACUAUCUGGCAGUUAUUGAUCUAUCACUGCCUUACUACAUGUUACCUAUCUGGCAAUUAUGAGAUGCCUAUUCUUUUCAUAUGUAAAUCCUAAAAUAUUCGAAUCCAUUUUAUAUGUAAAUCCUAAAAUUUUCGAAUCCAAAGCCACCCAUUACAAUAUUAUGUACUGAAAUUAUAUCUUUUACUUAUGUGUCACUCUGCAUUUUUUUAAGAUUAAAAAAAAAUUCUUCCUUAUUUUAUACAUGGUUAAACACCAACCUUCAUGAUUCACUGGAUAUUCUUAGUAUUAUCUCUAACAAAAGAAUUUAUAAAGUUCUUUCCCCACAAAUGCAAAUAUAGGUAUUAGCUUAUUGAUUUUAAAUUGGUUAUUAAAUGUCUGGCAUGGAUCUCCUCCCUGC
RNAcentral lists this long non-coding RNA (904 nucleotides) under Zea mays. RNAcentral describes it as "long non-coding RNA (ZMAY_LNC001708)". The record is from RNAcentral. Lineage: Eukaryota; Viridiplantae; Streptophyta; Magnoliopsida; Poales; Poaceae.